This 254-nucleotide ribosomal RNA is filed under the name uncultured bacterium. Its description in RNAcentral is "partial 16S ribosomal RNA". It matches the Rfam family "Bacterial small subunit ribosomal RNA", at positions 524 to 776 of the family's 1533-position model. The record is from RNAcentral.
UACGAAGGGUGCAAACGUUGCUCGGAAUUAUUGGGCGUAAAGCGCACGUAGGCGGCUUAGCAAGUCGGAAGUGAAAGCCCUCGGCUCAACCAAGGAAGUGCUUUCGAAACUGCUGAGCUUGAGUACUUAAGAGGAUCGCGGAAUUCCCGGUGUAGAGGUGAAAAUUCGUAGAUAUCGGGAGGAACACCAGUGGCGAAGGCGGCGAUCUGGGAAGAUACUGACGCUGAGGUGCGAAAGCGUGGGGAGCAAACAGG